Molecule: ribosomal RNA, 432 nt
Filed under: uncultured bacterium
Lineage: Bacteria
Description: partial 16S ribosomal RNA
Rfam family: Bacterial small subunit ribosomal RNA
Source: RNAcentral
AACGAACGCUAGCGGCAUGCCUAACACAUGCAAGUCGAACGAUCCCUUCGGGGAUAGUGGCGCACGGGUGCGUAACGCGUGGGAACCUGCCCUUAGGUUCGGAAUAACUCAGAGAAAUUUGAGCUAAUACCGGAUAAUGUCUUCGGACCAAAGAUUUAUCGCCUUUGGAUGGGCCCGCGUUGGAUUAGCUAGUUGGUGGGGUAAAGGCCUACCAAGGCGACGAUCCAUAGCUGGUCUGAGAGGAUGAUCAGCCACACUGGGACUGAGACACGGCCCAGACUCCUACGGGAGGCAGCAGUGGGGAAUAUUGGACAAUGGGCGAAAGCCUGAUCCAGCAAUGCCGCGUGAGUGAUGAAGGCCUUAGGGUUGUAAAGCUCUUUUACCCGGGAUGAUAAUGACAGUACCGGGAGAAUAAGCCCCGGCUAACUCCGU